Molecule: unclassified non-coding RNA, 447 nt
Filed under: Hevea brasiliensis (rubber tree)
Lineage: Eukaryota; Viridiplantae; Streptophyta; Magnoliopsida; Malpighiales; Euphorbiaceae
Source: RNAcentral
UGAUGAUCAACAUUUUUUUACAGUGACAUACAAAAACAUAAGAGUUCCAAAAGUAGUUGAACAAAAUAUUAGAACAAACAAGGUCAAUAUAAAAGUUUCUACUCCCCUGAAAAGUCAAAACCGGAGACCAAUCCUAAGGAAACAACUGCAAUAUUAGAAGCUCCUGGUAAAGCUAGCAAGUUCUUAAUCACUUUUGAGAUAUUGGCUGAAGAGAUAUUGCAUCCAUUGUGCCAUGGCGCUAUAACCAGUUUCUCAAGAUUUUUUGCAUGCUCAAGCAAGGACUUCAAAAAUUCUGAAAGGCGCUCUGUUGCGUCAGCUUUGUGUUGACAACUACAACAGUUUGAAGUAACCUCAACAUGCUUCAAAUUCUGCAAGGAGCCUUUGAAUAUGUUUUCAUGCAAGGAGAGGGAUUUGUCUCCUAACCAAUCAAACACUUCUUCUUCCAAG